GUGGGGAAUUUUGGACAAUGGGGGCAACCCUGAUCCAGCCAUGCCGCGUGCGGGAAGAAGGCCUUCGGGUUGUAAACCGCUUUUGUCAGGGAAGAAAUCCUUUGGGUUAAUACCUCGGAGGGAUGACGGUAACUGAAGAAUAAGCACCGGCUAACUACGUGCCAGCAGCCGCGGUAAUACGUAGGGUGCGAGCGUUAAUCGGAAUUACUGGGCGUAAAGCGUGCGCAGGCGGUUUUGUAAGAUCGAUGUGAAAUCCCCGGGCUCAACCUGGGAUCUGCAUUGGUGACUGCAAGGCUGGAGUGCGGCAGAGGGGGAUGGAAGUCCGCGUGUAGCAGUGAAAUGCGUAGAUAUGCGGAGGAACACCGAUGGCGAAGGCAAUCCCCUUGGCCUGCACUGACGCUCAUGCACGAAAGCGUGGGGAGCAAACAGGAUUAGAAACCCGGGUAGUCC
Molecule: ribosomal RNA, 450 nt
Filed under: uncultured bacterium
Lineage: Bacteria
Description: partial 16S ribosomal RNA
Rfam family: Bacterial small subunit ribosomal RNA
Source: RNAcentral